Molecule: ribosomal RNA, 506 nt
Filed under: uncultured bacterium
Lineage: Bacteria
Description: bacterial SSU rRNA
Rfam family: Bacterial small subunit ribosomal RNA
Source: RNAcentral
GGCUCAGGAUGAACGCUGGCGGCGUGCCUAACACAUGCAAGUCGAACGGGACUAUGAAGUGAUGUUUCGGACUGAACUUUUAGUUAGUGGCGGACGGGUGAGUAACGCGUGGACAACCUGCCUCUCACUGGGGGAUAGCAGCUGGGAAACGGCUGGUAAUACCGCAUGCGUUCAAUAUGCCGCAUGACAUAUUGAAGAAAGAUUUAUCGGUGAGAGAUGGGUCCGCGUCUGAUUAGCCAGUUGGCGGGUAACGGCCACCAAAGCGACGAUCAGUAGCCGGCCUGAGAGGGCGGACGGCCACAUUGGGACUGAGACACGGCCCAGACUCCUACGGGAGGCAGCAGUGGGGGAUAUUGCACAAUGGGCGCAAGCCUGAUGCAGCGAACCGCCGCGUGAGUGAAGAAGUAUUUCGGUAUGUAAAGCUCUAUCAGCAGGGAAGAAAGGCCCGCAAGGGAGAUGACGGUACCUGACUAAGAAGCCCCGGCUAACUACGUGCCAGCCGCCGC